AUUGAACGCUGGCGGCAGGCCUAACACAUGCAAGUCGAGCGGAUGAAGGGAGCUCGCUCCUGGAUUCAGCGGCGGACGGGUGAGUAAUGCCUGGAAAUCUGCCGGGUAGUGGGGGAUACCGUCCGGAAACGGGCGCUAAAACGGCAUACGUCCGGAGGGAGAAAGUGGGGGAUCUUCGGACCUCACGCUAUAAGGUGAGCCUAGGUCGGAUUAGCUAGUUGGUGGGGUAAAGGCCUACCAAGGCGACGAUCCGUAACUGGUCUGAGAGGAUGAUCAGUCACACUGGAACUGAGACACGGUCCAGACUCCUACGGGAGGCAGCAGUGGGGAAUAUUGGACAAUGGGCGAAAGCCUGAUCCAGCCAUGCCGCGUGUGUGAAGAAGGUCUUCGGAUUGUAAAGCACUUUAAGUUGGGAGGAAGGGCAGUAAGUUAAUACCUUGCUGUUUUGACGUUACCAACAGAAUAAGCACCGGCUAACUUCGUG
Molecule: ribosomal RNA, 484 nt
Filed under: uncultured bacterium
Lineage: Bacteria
Description: partial 16S ribosomal RNA
Rfam family: Bacterial small subunit ribosomal RNA
Source: RNAcentral